This 491-nucleotide ribosomal RNA is filed under the name uncultured bacterium. RNAcentral's name for it is "bacterial SSU rRNA". It matches the Rfam family "Bacterial small subunit ribosomal RNA", at positions 33 to 507 of the family's 1533-position model. The record is from RNAcentral.
GACGACGCUGGCGGCGUGCCUAACACAUGCAAGUCGAGCGGGGUUGAAGCGAGAGGUAACUCGAACUUCUACCUAGCGGCGAACGGGUGAGUAAUAUAUCGGAACGUGCCCAGUAGUGGGGGAUAGCCCGGCGAAAGCCGGAUUAAUACCGCAUACGACCUGAGGGUGAAAGCGGGGGAUCGCAAGACCUCGCGCUAUUGGAGCGGCCGAUAUCAGAUUAGCUAGUUGGUGGGGUAAAGGCCUACCAAGGCUACGAUCUGUAGUUGGUCUGAGAGGACGACCAGCCACACUGGGACUGAGACACGGCCCAGACUCCUACGGGAGGCAGCAGUGGGGAAUUUUGGACAAUGGGCGCAAGCCUGAUCCAGCAAUGCCGCGUGCAGGAAGAAGGCCUUCGGGUUGUAAACUGCUUUUGUCAGGGAAGAAAUCUUCUGGGCUAAUACCCCGGGAGGAUGACGGUACCUGAAGAAUAAGCACCGGCUAACUACGUG